RNAcentral lists this ribosomal RNA (32 nucleotides) under Amicia lobbiana. Its description in RNAcentral is "partial large subunit ribosomal RNA". Lineage: Eukaryota; Viridiplantae; Streptophyta; Magnoliopsida; Fabales; Fabaceae. The record is from RNAcentral.
GCGACCUCAGGUCAGGCGGGGCUACCCGCUGA